Glycine soja is the source of this 3450-nucleotide long non-coding RNA. RefSeq lists it as uncharacterized. The record is from RefSeq and is a predicted model, not a curated record. NCBI's taxonomy places the organism in Eukaryota, Viridiplantae, Streptophyta, Magnoliopsida, Fabales, Fabaceae. The transcript has 3 exons.
GUUCAAUGACUCUUUUACCCUUUUUCUUCCUUCUCCCUUAAAAAAUUUGACCUCAUCCUGAGCGUUAACCUAACUUCCUAAUUUGCCUCAGUUCGCACAGUGUCAUUGGUGUAGAACAUUCGCUCACAAAGGAAGGUCGUUCGCAGGGAAGGUUUUUUGUUGAUGGACGGUUGGCUCGCUGCUGUAGCUGAACGCAUAGUGGUGUUUGGUUGUUUCGUUUUGAAGUUGUUUGGUCUUUCAUUUUGAACCCAUUUUGGUAAUGUUGACAUGCAUAUGUACAGAAUGGAUCUGAAUGGGAGAAAAUGAUGAAUCUGGUGGAGAAGAUGGUGAGCAUACUGAUCCUUUAAGUAGUAUGGAUGGUGUUGGUGAAGAAGGUGAUUUAUUCGGAGGUGGAGGUUCUGGGAAUGAAGAACAUGGUAAAAUUAUCAUAAAUGCUUUGAUUGAUAUAGUAGACAUCGUCAUGAAGAAUUUAGAGGCUGAUGUUGUUAAAAGAUUGGAUUUUGGUGAUCUUGAGGCUGCAUAUGAGUUUUACUAUUGGUAUGCAAGAAUCAAUGGGUUUUGUAUUCGGAAGAGUAAAACUGAAAAAUAAAGUGUGAAAUAACACAGCAAACCUUUGUUUGUUCUAGAGAAGGUCGAAGAGAAGAUAGGGGAUUGACAAGUGAAACAAGAAAGCGUGAACCAAAGAAAGAAACUAGGUGUGAUUGCAAGGCCAAGUUUCGUGUUCAUGUAGACCUCCAUUGUCAGUGGUCUAUAACAGAGUUUACUGACCUACACAGCCACGAGCUUUUGGAGGACAGUUUAUGUUCCAUGUUACCAGCACAUAGGCGGAUGACUGUAGCUGAUAUUUUGCUAAUUGAAAACUUUAGAAAAGUUGGGAUAAGGCCUCCUCCAAUUCUUGGGGCAUUUGCGAACAGUUCAGGUGGAUAUGAUAAGAUUGGAUGGUGGAGGAAAGAUCUUUAUAAUCAUGUGGCAUGACAAAGAAGACAGCAAUACUCUGAUGCUAGUGGUGCCAUAAAGUUUCUUCGUGGCCUGAAAAAGAAAGACCCACUGGUGGAAGUUAGACACACGGUUGAUGAUGAUGGGAGAUUGCAACAUAUUUUUUGGUGUGAUGAAUAAAGCCAAUUAAACUAUGAAGUUUUUGGUGAUGUUGUAGCUUUUGAUGCAACAUACCGAAAGAAUAAGUAUAUGUUUCCCUUUGUCAUUUUUUUGGGUGUGAACCAUCAUAAUCAAACAAUAGUUUUUGCAACUUCCCUGGUUUCUAAUGAGACUGAGCAAACAUAUGUGUGGUUGUUGGAGCAAUUCAAGGAUGUUAUGAAAGGGAAGGAACCAUUUUCUUUGAUAACUGAUGGUGAUCUAGUUAUAAGAAAUUCAAUAAGGAGAGUAUUUCCUCGAGCACAUCAUAGAUUGUGUGCUUGGCAUUUACUUUGGAAUGCAAACUCCCAUGUUUGUAAUCCAGCAAUGAUGAACUACUUGAAGAAUUGCUUGCUGAUUAUGAUGUACCCAAAUUUGAAGAAUUAUGGAUGCAUAUGCUGAAUCAGUUUGAGUUGCAAGAAAACAAGUGGAUGAAAGAGUUGUAUGAGAAGAAAAAGAUGUGGGCCACCUCUCACAUAAGGGGGAGUUUUUUUUGCUGGAAUAAUGACAACCUCGAGAUGUGAAGCUUUUCAUAGUCAUCUUGCCAAGUUUGUGAACUUAAGGAUAUGUUUCACAGAUUUUGUUGAGCAAUUUCAAAGAUGCUUGAGUUAUUUUUGUUUGAAGAAAAAGAUGUGGGCCACCUCUCACAUAAGGGGGAGUUUUUUUUGCUGGAAUAAUGACAACCUCGAGAUGUGAAGCUUUUCAUAGUCAUCUUGCCAAGUUUGUGAACUUAAGGAUAUGUUUCACAGAUUUUGUUGAGCAAUUUCAAAGAUGCUUGAGUUAUUUUUGUUUGAAGAAAAAGAUGUGGGCCACCUCUCACAUAAGGGGGAGUUUUUUUUGCUGGAAUAAUGACAACCUCGAGAUGUGAAGCUUUUCAUAGUCAUCUUGCCAAGUUUGUGAACUUAAGGAUAUGUUUCACAGAUUUUGUUGAGCAAUUUCAAAGAUGCUUGAGUUAUUUUUGUUUCAGGGAAAUUGAAGCUGAUUUUGAUUCUGACUAUGGUGUUGUUACUCUACAAAGUGGUUUGCACUCAUUGGAGAGGUCAGCUUCUAAGGUAUUCACGAAGACGAUAUUUCAUAUGUUUAGGUGUAUGUUGAUAAGAGCACCAACAGUGAUGAGGGUAAGGGAAUGUCAUGAGACAUCAUUGUACUCCAUCUACUCUGUUUUGAAAUAUUGUGACUGUGGUAGCAUUUGCCAUGUAUGUUAUUGUCCCUCGACAUUUGAGUUUAAAUGCUCAUGUUUGAGGAUGGAAUCUUUUGGCCUACCAUGUGAUCACAUAGUCACAUUGUUGGUAGAGCUUGACUUUUCUGAAAUUCCUAAAUGUUUAGUGUUGGAUUGGUGGAAAAAAAAGUGCAAAAAAGUCUAUUCGUGGAAGAUAUGUAGAUAGUUCAACUUUCUGGGAUUCAAAUCUUUUGGCAAAGCAUGCCUAUUUGCAUUUCCUUUUUAGGGAGUUGGCAGAAGUUGCACAUCGGCAUGAUGAUGACUAUAAUCACAUUGUAGAUUUGCUUGCUGCUGAACUGAAAAAGUUGCGAGUAAAACAUGGGAACCAAUCUGUUGCUGAAUAAACUGGUAAUGAUACCAGUUUUUAGGGUCUUUUCUUUGCCAAUCUUUUUAGGGUCUUUUCUUUUGUUGUAUGGGUAUCCACUUUUUGUGGUUCUAUCUUUGUAGGUGGGGCUGGCAGAGUACUGCCUGUGUAUAUUCUGUUAUUCUUCAGUACUCCUAGUACUGAUUAUCUUUUAAUACUAUCAGAUUUUUGCUGUGAAAAAAAAAAAAAAUGAUACCAUUGACGAAAACAUUGAAGAUCCUAGUGCUGUUAGAACAAAGGGUUGUGGUGCAGCAAGCAAUGGUGGAUCAAGCAGAAGCAAGAGAAACAACCGUUGUCGCAAAUUUGGUGAACUUAGCCAUAAUAAAUGUUCGACAAGAAUGACUACAAAAAAGAGUCGAAUGUCACAAACUACACAUGGCGAUGCAUUGACUUUUGAGAUGCAAGUAGAGACUGUACACGGUUCAACCAAUGGUGCAGUGGAAGACAAUGUUCAGGCAACAUCAUUGGGACAGUGAAGAAAUUAGGAGCAAAAACCGACAUUUACAGGGUCUAAGCAGUUAUAAGUGCAUAAUUUUAACGUGCUAUUUAUGUUUAUUUUUCUAUUUGUUUUGGUGCAAUUAUUAUUGUAUGAUGGAUCCUUUUUGCAUGAAAGAUGUGUUCAAUGUAAUACCCUGUUGUGGCAACAUCAUCGUUUGCUUAAAUGUAAACAGAUUUAGUCACAUUUGGUUGCCAUAAAGUGACUCUAAAACGUGUUGUAGAAUUAACUUUUCUCCCA